Molecule: ribosomal RNA, 594 nt
Filed under: Escherichia coli
Lineage: Bacteria; Pseudomonadati; Pseudomonadota; Gammaproteobacteria; Enterobacterales; Enterobacteriaceae
Description: partial 23S ribosomal RNA
Rfam family: Bacterial large subunit ribosomal RNA
Source: RNAcentral
GCGAAUGCUGACAUAAGUAACGAUAAAGCGGGUGAAAAGCCCGCUCGCCGGAAGACCAAGGGUUCCUGUCCAACGUUAAUCGGGGCAGGGUGAGUCGACCCCUAAGGCGAGGCCGAAAGGCGUAGUCGAUGGGAAACAGGUUAAUAUUCCUGUACUUGGUGUUACUGCGAAGGGGGGACGGAGAAGGCUAUGUUGGCCGGGCGACGGUUGUCCCGGUUUAAGCGUGUAGGCUGGUUUUCCAGGCAAAUCCGGAAAAUCAAGGCUGAGGCGUGAUGACGAGGCACUACGGUGCUGAAGCAACAAAUGCCCUGCUUCCAGGAAAAGCCUCUAAGCAUCAGGUAACAUCAAAUCGUACCCCAAACCGACACAGGUGGUCAGGUAGAGAAUACCAAGGCGCUUGAGAGAACUCGGGUGAAGGAACUAGGCAAAAUGGUGCCGUAACUUCGGGAGAAGGCACGCUGAUAUGUAGGUGAAGUCCCUCGCGGAUGGAGCUGAAAUCAGUCGAAGAUACCAGCUGGCUGCAACUGUUUAUUAAAAACACAGCACUGUGCAAACACGAAAGUGGACGUAUACGGUGUGACGCCUGCCCGGUGC